Molecule: ribosomal RNA, 465 nt
Filed under: uncultured bacterium
Lineage: Bacteria
Description: partial 16S ribosomal RNA
Rfam family: Bacterial small subunit ribosomal RNA
Source: RNAcentral
GAUGAACGCUGGCGGCGUGCUUAACACAUGCAAGUCGAACGGAAAGGCUCCUGCUUGCUGGGGUACUCGAGUGGCGAACGGGUGAGUAACACGUGGGUGAUCUGCCCUGCACUUCGGGAUAAGCCUGGGAAACUGGGUCUAAUACCGGAUAGGACGAUGGUUUGGAUGCCAUUGUGGAAAGUUUUUCGGUGUGGGAUGAGCUCGCGGCCUAUCAGCUUGUUGGUGGGGUAAUGGCCUACCAAGGCGUCGACGGGUAGCCGGCCUGAGAGGGUGUACGGCCACAUUGGGACUGAGAUACGGAGCAGACGCCUACGGGAGGCAGCAGUGGGGAAUAUUGCACAAUGGGCGCAAGCCGGAUGCAGAGACGCCGCGUGGGGGAUGACGGCCUUCGGGUUGUAAACUGCUUUCGCUAGGGACGAAGCGCAAGUGACGGUACCUGGAGAAGAAGCACCGGCUAACUACGUG